Non-coding RNA from Phascolarctos cinereus (koala), 1431 nucleotides. Lineage: Eukaryota; Metazoa; Chordata; Mammalia; Diprotodontia; Phascolarctidae. The record is from RefSeq and is a predicted model, not a curated record.
UCUGAAGAGAGCUUUAUUAAAUCCCUCCUAGCCACCAUUACCAACCACUAAAAGGAUGACAGAGUAACAAAAUGUGUUGUCUAAGCAGAGACCUGGUGAGAAAAUGAAAAACGUCAAACCUGGUUUUUAACAACUUAAGUCAACCAGUAAUGAUUAAGCACCUACUCCAGGCGCAGCACCGGAGACAGACACCAGGAGGGAAAACGGCAGUGCCUCCCUUCAACGAACUCCAAGUCUAGUGGGAGGCGAAGACAGAAACAAAUCAAUAUAACUUGGAAGGUGAAGGCAUAGCCAUCAAACAGGGCAGGAGAGAUUCAGAGAAGCAGGGACUACUUCCAACCAUCAGGAUCAAGGAAACAACAGAACUAAAUAUUCCCAGCUCCUGAUUCUCAUAUAACAUGAACUGGAGAAACCAUCACACCCUCAUUCUUGGAAGCCGUGCCUCUUGUAAAUGCAGUCCAAGAAUACAUGAGCUUUUUGGCUGACUCAUAUUGAGCUUACAGUUCACUAAAACCCCCAUCUUAUCCUUGGGAAGGUGUUGUUUUUGAACCUAAAGAUGGGGAAGCUGAGGCUGAGAGAAAUUUAGUGACCUGCUCAGAAUCACACAGCUACUGAGUGCCUGAAAUGAGAUUCAAACCCAGGGCUUUGGAACUCUUAAGCCCCAUGCUUUAUCUACUACACGGCUGCCCACUCCAGGCCAAGAAAGAAGAGAACCCAGCCUUUCACAGAGAAAUCUCCUUUUCUAUCCUUGGAUGAGAAGCAGCUUGGUGUAGUGGAUAGAGCUAGCAAAGACCUGGGUUCAAGUCCUACCCCAUGGCAUGCUGGCUUUUUAACUUUAGUCAAACUCAAAUAAAAAGUGGGGCCAGCAACCUGUGUUUAAGGAUGCCUGCAGGCACAUACUGACUUAGAAAACCACAUAUUAACAUUUGUUAUGUGUUACUGUAUUUUUAUUUUAUUUUGUUAAAAUAUCUCCCAAUUGCACUUUAAUCUAGUUUGGAUACACUUCGGAGCCUCUCAGGCCCUCCCACAUUUGACACUUGUACACUAAACAACUUUCCUCAGGCUAGAAAUUGCAGAAAAGGUGACAACCUGCAUUGGCAGAGGGAGUUUCCACACCUAAAAUGCCCCUGUACCAAUGAAAUCACAAGUCCAAUCCCUAAUCUUAUCCCUGUCUGAUGUCGGGGAAACAUGGAACCAAUGAUCUAGAAGGAAAUGUGAAUUCCAUACUAGUGGUUGUCUAUGAACACCGAAGAGGGACUUAGACAAAGGGUGGAAGGGAAAACUUGGGAGUCAUAAUCAAUACAUAUGACUGGGGGGGAUUUCUUUGUCCUGAUGCUGAAGAAUCAUAGACUGUUGGGCACCAAAUUUUGUGGCUCUAAUAAUAAACUAUAUAAACCUGGACUGGAGGCUCACCACCACCACCACCACCAC